Molecule: long non-coding RNA, 1033 nt
Organism: Drosophila yakuba
Lineage: Eukaryota; Metazoa; Arthropoda; Insecta; Diptera; Drosophilidae
Exons: 3
Source: RefSeq, a predicted model, not a curated record
GGGGAUGCGGAAAAACAGCAGAGUUUUGGACUGGGAAAACUGAAAUCGAGGCGGAAAAAGACCCACAUCAUGCGGCUGCUGUUCCCCUACGCUUUCUCUCCCUUUCCCGCUUUUCCAGCCAUGCCCGUCUGCCCGCCCGCACUUUUCUCAACCCAAAUGUACAUUCUUGUUGCGGCUUGACAAGUAAACAAGCGAAUCCAUCAAUCAACCGCACGUAGAAGGCACACAAAAGUGACAAUGUGGGUGGCCCCCGUUCCUUGGGGGUCCUCGAACAGGAUUCCGAUCCCAAAAAAAAAAAAGAAGGCGAAAAGAGGCGAAUUCGAUAUGCACGAGUCGUACGAAAUGAAUUUUCAGACAUCACAAAACGACCACUGCAAAGGAAAGAACUCGAAUCCUUUUGCCGCGAUGUACACACGCACACACUUUUGAGUGAAUAAAAACCAAAGGAAGUGUAUUGCAAGUGGGCUUCUUUAAUGUGCGAUUAACGUGAAAUGGAGCCAGUAAUCUGAGUUACCUGUCAACACCACGAAAGGAACUCAAACAGGAGCUGGGAGGUGGGAGGUGGGAGAAAGGACUAUCUCGCUCCUUGCGAAAAUCAACACAAUGUGGCCAGAAAGUCGAAAAGGUGUCCGAGGAAAAAGAAAACACAGGACUCAACACACAAAAGAGGGCUCGGCAGGAGGAAGCAAAGAACAUAACCGAAGGACCCAAAGACAAAAGGCGGCAAUAAACCUACUGAGUUCCACAAAGGUGUAGCUGAAAAAAGCAUAUUUUGCUGUUUUCAGCCAUCUGAGCGAAAGGGUUAGGCAUCCAUAAAGCGGGAAAAUAAGACAAAAAGCCAGAUAAAUUAUUAUUUAAGACGACGGAACUGCAAAAUACUCUGUAUUUCUAAAGAGAAUCAUCCCACAAUGAAUAAGAUCUGGCAUGGGUAAAAUGGAAAAUUUCUAGAUAAGCGCACAUCAAUAUUUCAACUUUGUUCUUAAAUUAUAAAUUGUGCAGUACCACUAAAUACGUUCGGUUUUUUUAAACGCAA